This 443-nucleotide ribosomal RNA is filed under the name uncultured bacterium. RNAcentral describes it as "partial 16S ribosomal RNA". It matches the Rfam family "Bacterial small subunit ribosomal RNA", at positions 338 to 795 of the family's 1533-position model. The record is from RNAcentral.
CCUACGGGAGGCAGCAGUGGGGAAUAUUGGGCAAUGGGCGCAAGCCUGACCCAGCAACGCCGCGUGAAGGAAGAAGGCCCUCGGGUUGUAAACUUCUUUUAUUCGGGACGCAACAAAUGACGGUACCGCAUGGAUAAGCCACGGCUAACUACGUGCAAGCAGCCGCGGUAAUACGUAGGUCGCAAGCGUUAUCCGGAUUUAAUGGGUGUAAAGGGCGUGUAGGCGGGAGGGCAAGUCAGACGGUAAAUUCCAGGGCUGAACCCUGGAACUGCGGUUGAAACUGUUCUUCUUGAGUGAUGGAGAGGCAGGCGGAAUUCCGGGUGUAGCGGUGAAAUGCGUAGAUAUACGGAGGAACACCAGUGGCGAAGGCGGCCUGCUGGACAUUAACUGACGCUGAGGCGCGAAAGCGCGGGGAGCAAACAGGAUUAGAUACCCGUGUAGUC